RNAcentral lists this ribosomal RNA (520 nucleotides) under uncultured bacterium. RNAcentral describes it as "bacterial SSU rRNA". It matches the Rfam family "Bacterial small subunit ribosomal RNA", at positions 120 to 674 of the family's 1533-position model. The record is from RNAcentral.
GGGAAUCUACCGUGCCCUGCGGAAUAGCUCCGGGAAACUGGAAUUAAUACCGCAUACGCCCUACGGGGGAAAGAUUUAUCGGGGUAUGAUGAGCCCGCGUUGGAUUAGCUAGUUGGUGGGGUAAAGGCCUACCAAGGCGACGAUCCAUAGCUGGUCUGAGAGGAUGAUCAGCCACAUUGGGACUGAGACACGGCCCAAACUCCUACGGGAGGCAGCAGUGGGGAAUAUUGGACAAUGGGCGCAAGCCUGAUCCAGCCAUGCCGCGUGAGUGAUGAAGGCCUUAGGGUUGUAAAGCUCUUUCACCGAUGAAGAUAAUGACGGUAGUCGGAGAAGAAGCCCCGGCUAACUUCGUGCCAGCAGCCGCGGUAAUACGAAGGGGGCUAGCGUUGUUCGGAUUUACUGGGCGUAAAGCGCACGUAGGCGGUUUGUUAAGUCAGGGGUGAAAUCCCGGAGCUCAACUCCGGAACUGCCUUUGAUACUGGCAAGCUAGAGUCCGGAAGAGGUAAGUGGAACUCCUAGU